GCAGAAGAAGAAGAAGAAGAAGAGGCACAAAACGAGACUUUCACACGCAGGUUCCCUUCGAAUGGUGAUCGAUGCACCAGCUAGAGGAAAACAACGAAAAUAUACCGACUCAGGCCCAAAACUGAUCCUGCUGAGAUGGAUUUGGCUCCGACAUCAUGCAGUCCCAGCUAUGCAAAUGACUGCAGAUCAGCAGACUUCACAUCACCAGGCCUGGACAUCCAGCAGCUGACUGGUCGUCAAGGAGACCAUCCCCCUCAGCCACAGGGUGGGAGCUCCACUUGGGAGCAGGAGGAGCCACAGCCCCCUCUUAUUAAAGAGGAAGAAAUGCAGCCGGAGCACCCCCACAUUAAAGAGGAAGAGGAGGAGCCACAGCCCCCCGAUGUUAAAGAGGAAGAGGAAGAACUCUCGAUCACUCAGGAGGGAGAGCAUCUUCAAAGGCCAGAGGAGGCUGAUCUCGCCAGGUUGCCACUGACUGGUGUCCCUGCAGUGACUAAAGACCAUGAAGACAAACCACCUGAGCUCUCCCAGCUUCAUCAUAGUCCAAGUGAGGAGAUGAGAGAGGCGGAGCCAUGCAGCAGCUCACUGCAACACAUGACAACAGAAGCUGAUGGAGACCACUGUGGAGGAUCACAAGCAGACAACCUCUUCGCUCCACUGUCAGAUAGUGACGACACAACGUCACACUCUCCUGAAGGUGAAGACAGCGACUACAACCAAGAAUCUCUGAGCAGCGAUACAGACUGUGAAGGUGAUAUGAUGAUGACUGGCACCGGCAACAAACACUCUAAAAGCUCUAAAAAGACAACAGGACUCAUCAAGGAUCCACACAAUAAGACGGCUGAAUGCACCAACCUCGACAAUGUCCCCACAACUUGGGGUUAUGCCGACAAUGAAUCGACCUACGUGCCCGUUUAUCGGCACGACGACGUAACCCCGUCUGAAGACGUUGGAAGGGCGACAAGAUUCACUGCAAACAUCAUCACCCUCUUCCAAACCUUACUGAACAAAUGUUUGAAUCAGGUAGCGUGGGAAAUAGCACGAUCUGAAUGCAACGGCUGCAUCAUAGAACAUCCAAGCCAGUUGCAGCAUUCAUGUCUCCAUGAACGAGGAAGUGUCUUUUACAUCAACCACUACAGCAGGGUAGUUGACAGCGUUUUCCGUCCUUCCCUGACAACCGCACUUCAGCAGCUGUCAUGUGUAGAACCAGGAUGCCUUGUUAGAAGUACAGAGAGACUUCUUGGUGCUGCCGAAGCAAUAAUACACCACCUGAUGGAGAAAGCAUGCUUUGGUCGCAUUCAGGACGACGAUGAGGAGCAAGGAAACGAGGCCUCACGUAGAAAAAUAUCCAUGGCUUUCUUGACAUGGUUACACUAAAAACCAUGUGUCUUUUGUUUUUAUUCACUUUUAUAUGUUUUUAUACAAAAAUGUACAUUUUUAUAUGUAGGAUUACCUCACUUAUGUACUUCAAAUGACAAAUUUAAUCUUUUGUUUUAUCCUGUCACGGUUAGGUACUGCAAUGGGGGGGCGCUAGCGCUCCAACGGCCUAUUUCCCGCCCCGCUUCCUGCUCAGCUUCCUGCUAAUUGUCCAGUUUUUCCGAGACUGCGUACACGCAUGGGUUCUGAUCUGACCAGUAGAAGAAGAGCGGUAAUUGGAAAUGGCUUUCUCAUGUCACUUCGCCUACGGCGCCACCUGGUGUUGAAAUGCCGUCAUUACAAGUCAACAUGAAAUGAAUGCAAUCAUUCACACCAGAGGUCAGCAACGUUUUUCCUUGUGAGAGCUACUUUUACAAAAUGAAAAUGGCCAAGAGCUACUCAUUUUUGUAACAUUUAUUUUCAGAGCUUAUUUUAAACCCAAACAAAGCGAAUAUGCUUGUUUCACCAGAACAUGAACAAAAUGCUGGUGUCCACAACUCACAUUUUGUAUUUCACAAUGCAUUUCUUUCUAGUGUUCUUUCAUUAUUAACUGAAAACCUGAAUGAAAAGCAGGCUUGCGGGCACCUCAUGUGGUCGUGGGGCGCUACCUGGUGCCCGCGGGCACCACAUUGGUGACCCCUGAUUCACAUCAAAUCUCCAGACUAUUAGUAGGAUAAAGAAAGCAGCUAACAAUGACUCUGUUAUGGGGGCCAGAACAUCCAGGAGCGGAGGGGAAGGAGUUGGCACGUACAUAUGCCAAGACAGCACAAGUAGGGCUGAAUAUUCAGUAGAGUCAAGCUGAAAUGAAGCCACUUGGGAAAGAAAGGCUUAUGAAGACGUGGCAGGAGGAACGGGACAGAGAACCAAAAGGUAGGCAUUGGGGUAAUAUUCCAAAAAGAGUGGCCCAAGUAAGAAGGACCAGCAGAAAUAGGAAAACCAGUAUUUACAACACAAACCAUGGCUUUGCAUGUCCUACAUCAGGGGUGUCCAAAGUGCGGCCCGCACCACAGUCUAAAAAUGUCAUUUAACAAGGAAACUUCAUAAAAAAACAGCAGCAAAAAUGGGAAAAUCAAUCAAAAGUCCAAAUAUGAAGAGAAGAGUUGUAAUCCAGCAAGGAAAAAAACAUCAUUUCACAAGAAUAAAGUCAUAGUAGGAGGAAAAAUGUCAUUUUAGUAGCAGGAAGUUGAAAUAUUCAAGAAAAAACAACGAACAAUGAAAGUUGUCAUAUUUGGAAAUUUAGGAUGGGGGAAAAUGUACAACAUGGCAAUAAAGUCCAAAUAUCAAGAGAAGAAAUAUACAAGAAGAAAGUUGAACUGUUUGGAAAAUUAUUUUUAAAAAUCAACAGCAGAAAUUUUACCAGAGUAAAGUCAAAAUAUUAAGAGAAAAAAAUAGUUUUCUAAUGAGAAAAAAGUUGCAAUUUUAUGAGAAAUAACUUUUCCUAAGAUGAGGAAAAAUAUCAUUUUAGUAACAACGUUGAAAUAAAGAAAACAUACAUUGUUUAAAAGAUAAAACAUAUUAUGGGAAUAAAGUAAGAAUUACAAGAAGAACAUUUACAAGAGGAAAGCCGAAAUUAAAUAGUAGUUGGAAAAUUAAAAAAAACACUAGAAAUGUAAAAAGUGCUGUAAUUCUACGGGAAUAAAGUCAAAAUAUUAAGAAAUGGAGUGAAGAACAAAAGUGUUAAUUUUCCAAGAAUAAACUGGUGUUAUUUUGGAAAAAAGGUGAUUUUUAGUCGCAUUUCUCCUACCAUCCAUCCAUUUUCUAUACCGCUUCUUCCUCUUUAGGGUUGCGGGGGCAUGCUGGAGCUGACUUUGGGCGACAGCCGGGCACAUAUAGACAAACAACACUCACACACCUAUGGGCAAUUUAGAGUCUCCAAUUAACCUAACAUGCACGUUUUUGGAAUGUGGGAGGAAACUGGAAUACCCGGAGAAAACCCACACACACACACAGAGAGAACAUGCAAACUCCACACAGAAAUGCCCAAGGGAGAAUCGAACCGUCUUCCCGAUCUCCAGGCUGUUACUGUGUUGGCCAACAUGCUAACCACUAGACCACCGUGCAGCCCCAUUUCUCCUCCAUUCCAGAUAUGUUCCAAAGGUGAAAUGCAGGUGCUACAUGUACUGUAGCUUCCUAGCAUAUCUACAUGUGUUGUUUACUAAAUAUCAAAGUAGCACAGUUGCAUCCUUUCAUUUUUCACUAUGUGGCCCUCGCUGGAAAAGGUUUGGACACCCCUGUACUACAUAGACCAGCUAGCGGGCUAACGUUAGCGGCUAACAAUAGCACAUUCAUUGAGAACAGCAUCGUAUUUAAACACCUUCAAGAUGAUUCAUUUACAUUAGAGAGGAGUACAAUAGCGUCUUCUGAGAGUUACAGCAGCAACUUGCUCUUCGGCUUGGUGACGUCUUGGUGUGCACCAAUCAUUAACGUCUUACAGAAACACAUACACUGGCAAACAUUGGUUCCUCAUUAGGAUCGAUCACUGAACGCUAUACUACUGGAAGGGGCGUCCCUGCUGACCGCAUGAAGCCAUUGGUCGGCCAUCUUGCUUCACCCAAAAAAGUACACACGCAUACACAUACAUGUAUCUUCAUUCACUACAUUUAUUAUGGUUCGGUAUAAAAAUUAACACGAAUUAACAAAAAAUUCCAUUGAAACAGAGUAAAUUUACUAGACCCAAAUCUCAAAAUGUCCCUCCAGUUUAAAGUUUUUCCUACCUCUAUGGUGUGAAAUUACAAUGCAUAAUAAGUUAAUUUCAGUGUUGACAAGGUAUUUGUUAUGAUAGGGAUCUACGUAGUAUCAAAGUUAAAUGCUAGCAUACCUUUAGAACAGGGGUCGGGAACCUUUUUGGCUAAGAGAGCCAUGAAAGCCACAUAUUUUAAAAUGUAUUUCCGUGAGAGCCAUAUCAUAUUUUUUAACACCGAAUACAACCAAAUGUGUGUAUACAGUAUUUAAGGAAUACUAGCAAUUUUAGAAUAUCAGUCUCUGAAUGUAUUCUUUGUAAUAAUGUUGUUAUAUUGAAGCUAACCAAUAAUAAAUAACUUUUUACCAUUAAUGCAACUUCUGGUGCUGCAUGGUUUUGUGACCUACUCCGUAUCUUUCUUUCUUUUCCUUUUUCAUCAAAAGGGUUGUCUCUUCACAAUUAGCUAGCUGACUAUUUGAUUAAAGAAGGUUUGAUUAAAGGAGGGACAACCCCAAUAAUAAUCAAGUUUUGGUGUCUGACACGGAAAACAUGGGAAGGACAGCUGGCAUUGCGCUAGAAAAAAAAAUGGAUGGGUUAAAAUGCAUUACAAUGCAUAUUUUGAAUUUUGUAAUGUUUCUGUUUCUGUAAUGUUUUACUUUAAAAUGUCAGGAAAACAAAUUAAAAUAAACACAUUUUAUGGUGUUAAGAAAUGUCUGAGAGCCAGAUGCAGUCAUCAAAAGAGCCACAACUGGCUCCCGAGCCAUAGGUUCCCUACCCCUGCUUUAGAAGAUGAUCAAGAAAGUCAAAUAUUGUUGGAACUGCAUUUUGUCGUAAUCUAACAGUGUGGCCGGUACUGUCGAAGUUCUCCUCAGUGAAAUGACUUGACCGGAGUUGCGAUCUGGCUGCAGGAAUCCACCUGUCUCUCCGCAUAUUUACUACCCAUUGCUUUAGAAGUUGAGCACUGCAGUGUGGAAAUCUAAAGGAGAAUAAGGGCUCAUUUACAACUACAGUCAAACUUGUCUAUAGCGGCCACUAGAGGGAGUUUGCAAAAGUGGCCGCUAUAGACAGGUGGCCUCUAUAGACAGGUUGGCGUCCAGUUUGAAUGUUGACCAGUAGAGGAAAAAAAUAAUAAUGUUGACCAGUAGAUGGCACUGCGGACUGCUGAUAAAAGUUGUACAGCACUACUAGACUUGUUAUUAUCAUGGUUCAUGGUUUUAAUUCAUCCUGAACAUGCAUAUGAGUCAAACAGUAGCACAUCACAUAGUACAAUUCACAAUUUUGCAUGUCCAAAAAGGAGUAGGAAGAAGCAAAGCUUAUUUAAUCCUACCCCUCAUCAGUUUCACAUCAGUUGCAAUACAUUUAUUCACCUCUUGUUCUUCCAAGUGUACUUUGUAGGUCUACAUGACAAUGUAGUGCAGUCAUAGCCAAGGUUUUUACUUACUAAAAGGAAGCUAGAUGCUUAAUAAUAACUGAUAACUGAUAAAAUACUUCAAUUAAGUACAACCGAACUCAGUUUUACUCCCGCUGCCACAUGCAUGCUAGCAUAUGUUUUUUUUUUUUUUUAUUGUAGCGUCGCUGGGAGCACAUCCUGUUCCCAGCAUACUUUGCGGUAAUGUUUUGGUGCAAAUGCUCUGAAAGUUACAUGUUUGACCAGGAAAUAGCAAACUCAAAAGAAGACGGCUUUUUUAUGUGGAACAACUGACAGUUUGUGUGGAUCUUGUGAAUGAUUGUGACUGAGUUAGGACUCACUAAUUAAAGUCUACACACGACGGCUUCAUUGAUUGAAAAACGAAACUUUUUUGUGCAUGAAGCUUCUACUUGGGUAAUCUGGCUGCUAUAUGCAGUCAGAUAUUGACCAAGGGAGACAAAAUGGGUGGCUGCUGGCUGCGUUGGACAGGUGACUGCGAUAGACAGGGUCUAUAACAUGUAAAUUUGCUAGGGGGGAUUUUUCAGUGGCUGCUAUAGGCAGGUAGCCCUUCUAUAAAGGUGGCCGCUAAGACAGGUUUGACUGUACUUAGAUGAAAAGAUGCUUACAGAUUUAAAGUAUCUAUUUUAUUAACUAUUUUUAUUAUUGAUAAGCAUUUACCUACCUGUGAAAUGUAAGUCCCUUCUCGCGAUUUUCACGAGUAUCACGAUUUGUGCAAUUAUUAGCAGCACAAGACGCCAUCUCGAACUCCUGUUAGUUGUGAGGCUUUCUUGUUUUGGGUGAAACAACAUGGCGACUUUUAUACUUCCGGUGGCUUCAGGCCUCCAAUGCGCAGCAAGCGAACGGGGCCAUUCCAGUUAUAGAGUUCAGUGGGAUUGAUCUACGUAUCAAUGUAAACAAGUCCUGCAAAUACAGUAAUAUUGUAAAUGUCAGCAUUUACCCACAUUUACAUACCCCAUUUUACCCACAGGCCAUCAGGUUUCUCAACGAAGCACUCACACACGCCACACACAACACAAGCACACACUCAUAGCACUUUAUUUGUUUGUAUUAUUUAUUUGUAUUAAUGUCUCUUCUGUUUUGUUGCUUAAUUUAUUGGUAUUUAUG
This is an RNA transcript of Dunckerocampus dactyliophorus (ringed pipefish), 6626 nucleotides long. It is a transcript of the gene named gastrula zinc finger protein XlCGF57.1-like, with no coding region annotated. NCBI's taxonomy places the organism in Eukaryota, Metazoa, Chordata, Actinopteri, Syngnathiformes, Syngnathidae. The record is from RefSeq and is a predicted model, not a curated record. The transcript has 5 exons.